GUAUCAGAAUUAUGGUUUGAAAAGUGUAAUAGUAAAAGAGACAUAUGCUAUUAUGUUAAAACAUGCAUCACAAUAGUAGCUUACCUUGUUAGGUUUACUUGCUAAGUGAUGACAUAGAAAACCUCUUCAUUCUCUUUGUGCUUAUUUUAUAAGAACUGUACUAUGAGUAAUUAAUAACUUCAUUACAAGUAUCUUGACUUUUCUAUUCACCUUUCCCUUCUCUGAACUUUCAGAGGGAAUUAAAACCCUCUAUGAUGUGUCGGCUGAUCCUCUUAUCAUUUGUUAAGCUAAUCUUACUAGAAUAUGCAACAGAAGUCUUUUCUUUCUUUUAUGCUCUUCUCCCCCUAGACUGAUUGCAGAGAAUUUGUAGACUUAAUCACUCCUAAACUUGCUGAAAAGAAAAAGCAGUCCCACGGUGUCUGAAGUGACAGUGUACAGAUGCACUAUUUGGGCCUUUUGUCACUGGUGCAGUUGUGUAACCAAGGUAAAAUUGUAGUUAAAUAAAAAAAGGAAUGAACCAGUGGAAAAUAAAGUGAAAAAUCUCAACUACUUGGAAUGUUAGAGCAUAGUAAAAUGUGGAGAAAGUAAUUUGGUAAUUUAUGUAGAAGAACUACAUACAUUGCUAUGAAUUUGAACUAAGAACUACUGUCCUGACAGACUUGAGGAUAACAGCUAGAAGGAAUGUUGCCUGGGAAUAUCACAACCAGAGUCUUCAUAUAAGAUGAAUUGCAAAUUCUAGAUUCUCUACUUGUUCCCAAAAAGCGAGAUCCUAUCUGACUGCUAGGGGAAAGAAACUAAAACACAUUAUAACAUUUUGAUACCAACAUUUGUUCAUGGAAAGAGCAAGAACUGAGAGAAUUCUGAAAGGCUGUCCCUAUGGAAGAAACAGAUUUUCUUUAGAGGGAAUCUUUACAUUACAGACAUUUUUCAGGCCCAGUUGUGCCAUCUGGUAUGGACUGCAUGCAACUGGUCGUGUAUUUAGAGAUCUCUAGCGAUUAAUAUUUUUUCUAUGCCAAAGUCAAGAAGUUGGGUGGCCCAUUUCUGAAAAGCUGUGCCAAGGCUUACACCUGCCACUGGGAACUUCAUCAGCCAUGGAGUCCGAAAGGAAGAGAAUAAGUCAGCAGCCACUGCUCAGCCAGGACAAAACCAUAAACUCCUAAUUGCAGCAAUCAACCUACUUACCAAAGAAGGUUGCAAUGGCUGUGGCCUUCAUGGUGAGUAAAGCAAAAUCUGGGUGCGUCACUAAGAAGCACUGAAAAGGAAAAGAAGAGCUCAUCAGGCUGUGUUCAGAAGUAUCGCAGAUGACUCUGGAACGGUGGGGAAAGAGGGACUGUGUUCUUUUUUGAUCUUUCACAGUCCUCACAUGCUGCAUCCUCUUCUCAUGCUGUAGAACAGCUGAUAUCCCCAGAGGAGAUGGUGCUUCAGCUGUGGCACUCCCAUGGACUGUUUUUUUUACUUCUGUCCAAAAUUUGCCUUUUUCCUCAGGAAACCAAGAUUUCAUUCACGUACUUAUUUCUGAAGCCAGUGUCAGGAGACAGUAUGAUGGGCACAGACAUGCUCUGAGGGCUACUCAAGUCUGUUCACUACUCUUCAAGACAUAAUCACAGAAUCUUAUUGUCUACACAUCAAACCUCACCAUGUAAUCCCAUGUAGAUAUGAGGAACAUAAAUAAGUCCAUUCAGUCCUGAAGGAUGUUGCGUAAAGUAUUUUGCAAUGGUUCCAUCUUUUCUGAGCCAAAUUACUGGUUUCUUCCCUUUUCUGAGGAUGUGUGUCCAUGUGCAUGUACGUGAGCACCUGAGAUUAAGAGGACUCUGUCAGAACAUCUGGGAAACAUUUUUUUCUGGGUCUGCAUAAGUGGUUCAUGACCCCUGCCAUCCCUGAAGCUCUUGGCCAGGCUACAAGACUGCAUGCUUAUCAGAGAUAACUCCUCCUCUCAGCUCCUCCUGAGCAUCACCUGCUGCUUUUGCUGUUAUUUGGUGAUUGUUGAGGGAAUCCUACGUUGGGCGCUCAUAAUUAAUCACAGUCAUUAAAGUACUAUAUAAUGCUUGACAAAUCAGAGUAAAAAGUUUGAAAGGGAGAAAAUAUUUUUGUGUUGUACAGGGAAAAGCUUGAGAAUCAAAAUAAACCUGAUUUUCAAAGAAACUUAUUACAUGCUUACAAAUGGAAAGAUUUAUACUAAAAUAAAAACUAGCUUGCUAUCAAGAAAGAAAAUACACGGAAUGUUAUAGCUGCAAAUUAUCAGGAAAAGCAACAUAUCUGCCUCCUGGAAAAAAGGCAGAGGCAGAUUUCACAUAGCAAUUCAUGUACUCAGAAGCAGGGCUUUGGUUGUCCCAGAAAGAAAUUUAGACUAACAAGGCAGAUACAGGAGAGAAACAGAAAAAAAAAAUCCCCUAUCUUCAUUUAAAAUGUUUCCACAUUUUUUUACUUUAAUUAUUCUUCUUUUUCAAGCAAGCCACGUCCUUCUAAGGCAAGGAUGACUAAAAUAGUAUGCUAGAUUAAACUGAGUUCAUCCAGUUCUAGAUCUAUAUAAUUUAUAACCCUUUUUACAUGGAGCAGAUGCACCUCUGAUUUUUGCUUCCCUGCUACAGUCAGAGAACUUCAAAUGCCAGGACAUACUAACAGUAUCACUUCCCAAUAGCAUUAUGUCUUUCCUUGGUGAUCUCCGUAAAACAGUCCUCCUGCUAAGGUUGCUAAACCUGAAAGCAACAGGGGUUGCUCAGAAGACACUGAACUGAAUCCUGGAGGCAUGGAAAGUGGUUCAAAAUGGUAACUGUGUCUUUCUGAAAAAUGAUGGGUUGUGCAGUUGGGGUGACCUGGGGCUGUACAAGCCAUAGCAGCAAGAGCAGUUAUGUGGUAAUAUUCUGCUGUCACAGUUAGUUUCUAUCAAAAAACUUCGCUCAACGUCUAAAAGAAAAAUCCAUUUUAAGCAUUUACCGCAGUGUAUUUCCACUGUGAAACUGCUAAAGAAACUAGUAAUAAACUAUAGAAGAGAGUUCAGAGAAACUUAGGUCAGAUGCUUUUCUCCUUACUUAUGUGUCUCAACCCAUCAACACAGCAGAGGUAUUAAAAAAUUACGUCCUUGCAAUGAGUUCUCACUUUAGGUCAAUCCCAGAAAAAGAAGAGGCAGAAUUGGAGAUGCAAAUUAUUUGCAGAAACACCAUGCACCAUUAAAGACUGUACUGGCACUGGCUUAGGCUUUGGGAAAGGCAUCUUAAUAUGAACAUUCCCCAAAUUUGCAGCAAAUAAAUUCAGCAGCGGCAUCUUUAUUUAAAGACAAAGAGAGCUGUGAGAAUGUGUCCUGACAGUAUUUGGUGUGGUGCUGAGAUGUUCUCGUCUCUUUUUUAAUUAGAGUAGAAUAGAUCUAAGAUGAUAGAGAAUCCAUGUAAAAGCUGGCUUCAUGGGUCUGUUGCUGUGCUCUGUGGAGAGAGUCCAAUGCUAUUUGACUUUUCCUGUCUCACAAAACAUAUAACAAUCUGUACCACCAGUGCUGCACAACACUUCCCAUUGCUUCCAGGAGUCUCUGAUGUCCCCGAGCCCUAUUGCCCCCAGGCCACGGUCUGCUGCCCCAGGAGCUAUCCCAGUCCUCCUGGGUGGCACUACCCUAGGCUUGGCUGCAAUUGCAAUCUCUACGUGGUCUGCUGGUGGGCAUUUGCUUUUCAAGGCAACAGCAAGUGGGCUUUUUUCAUAAAAUAUUAUGAAUUUAUUGCAGAAAGAGGCCAAAAAAUCUAAUUGGGUUUAAUAUGUAAAGCCCGUAAGGGGCAAAUGAGUUCAGCAGACCCGUUAGCCUGCAAUAACAGAUGCUUAUCAAUAAGAGAGCUAAAAGAAGCAUUUAGUCAAGGCUGUUAGAUUUACUUAGAAGAUUUGUUGUCAUAGCUACACAGAAAAUCAUCUUAUUGUGGACUCUGUACUUUUGCUGGUGCAGUUAAUACUAGUAUCCUGAUGGAAAUAAAUUGUAAUAGUAAAGAAACUUAUUUUUGCCACUAUAUUAGGCACUGGUAUAUCAGGAAGAAGUGCAUAGGCAUGACAGUACUCCAAGGGGGGUCCUGGCCUUUAGACCUUGGGCUGUCACAUGGGCAAAUGUGCAGGAGGAUUUACAUUGCUGACUAUUAAGUAACAGGCAUAGAAGCUCCAAGCUUUCUGUUGUGGGAAGUCUGUGUGCAUUCAUUGUAUGUGGGGCCUAGGGAGUCACCUGAUUUAAGCUGUGUGAGAUCUCCUAUACUGUGCACUAGCAUGGCAUGCACUGCUUCAGACUGGUAAAGGGAACAACAGCCUGGAAUAAAACAUGGGGGGUUUUGUUUCUUUUGGAAGGAAAGGCAAAGCAGGGCUCCAGUCCAUGCAUAUGACCGGCUUUUUAGUCUGUGUGGAUCUGCUGGCCAGCUUGGGGUUGUUUUAUUUACAGAUCAAGAAUAAUACUUUGCUAAUAAACACAAAGAUGUUCUUCCUUUGUUCCUUUACAAAAUGAAUAGGUCCCACUAAAACAAAACCAAAUGUUUCUACUUUGGGUUAGUUUGGAGCAUGAAUUUUGCUGAGAUUUGUCCUAAUUAGAUUUCUAUUCAUGCAGUAUUUGCAGUCCCAGUCAGAACUGGUAACUAGUGACUAUUCACUAUUAAAUCUCUUAAACCGUAGGCUGGAUCUCUGUUUAUCUGAGUACAUUUUCCCAUCUAUAUCCUUCAGACUGUCACAUCAGAAGUUACCCUUAUGCCAGGACAGCAGUUAAGUGUAUGCAUUACAUUAACAUGUGCUUAAAUCCCAGCUAAGUACAAAUGUAGUAAGAAGCAUCUCCUUUGGUGUUUCCCAGUGCAGAUCCUAUUUUACCUUUUAAAAUGAAAGUUCUAUUUCACGUUGGUUACUUUUCUCCUACCACAAUACUUGAAAAAUCUUGAGUAUUAGUGAAGAGACAGAGUUAGCAAACUAUUCUUUCUGCAUAUAAAGUAAGAUUUUUAUACUGACCUUUUAUUAGCAACUUGACUUUUAUAAAGAUCUGAGAGAGCUGCUACAUACUAAAAACAAACAGAUGGUUUAGAGCCACAUAAAUUCUCACUAUAUGACAAACUAUUACAUUUUCUGAUGGAAGUGUAGGUUUUAAGUCCUUGAUUUUUGGUGUCAGGCACUGCUGUCCAUUCCACGUGCAAACUGAAAUUCUUUGCUGGUACCAUGUGCUUUGCCUCUGCAGAAGUAAGCAGUUUAUCUCCUGUAAUCUCCUGUGCCACAGAAAUUAAUUUGUAUACUCUCUUUGUACCAUAAUAGUGUGUGUUAUUGUUCCCCUUCUCAAGGGGUUCUAAUAUCACAGAAGCACUGGCACCAUAAAAAAAACAGAAGUGGACUUUGUUUGAAAGCUGUCUGAGCAAGUGGCAUGGGGUUAACAGCAUGAUCUCUAAGUGCUGUGGGUUGAGUUAAAUAUGUGCCCUUUAUGAGAAAAUCAAGUGGGCUUGGUGUAGGUGUGAGUAAACUGGUUUGGAUAAACAAGAGCUGAUCAUCAUCUUCUAGAAGAAAACAUUUUAGAUUUCUCUUUUUUUUUUUUUUAAAUUGUUUAACCCUUUCUUUUUUUCAUGCUCAUACUCUGUCCCUAUGGUAUUGAACCUUGCUUGGCAGUACAAGAAAGUUCCUUUUGGUGCACACUAGGUAAUAUGGCUAACACUUGUCACGCACAAUUUAGUUUCACCUCCUUUCUUAUUAGAGGAAAGAAAUUAUGUACCCUCAGUGCACUGUGUUGCUCUGAAAGUCUGUACACUAAAAAAAAAUGUAAAUGGCUGUUUAUUUUAAAAAUUGAGGUAAUGAGUUCUGCUGAGACAGAAAAUUCAAAUUGGUAACCGUAUUUCAUUUCAGAGGUUGAGAUUGCUCUGUAGGUAUCCCAGGCCAGGUCACAGAAAGUAAGAUCCAAGGUGCUAUUUUGCGAGGGUGAGCUUAUUUGCAUGCUAGACUUUAUUCUUGGAGAGGUCUGAAAUAGAAUAUAUGCAUCCAGGAAUUUAAAAAUAUUGCAGACCUCAUCACUACUGCUAUUAAAAAAGACGAGUGAAUGCUCACCUGUUUUCUUUCAUAUAUGAAAGAACCCAAAAAUGCUUCCUGGAGGCAGUGAUGAGCUUCAGAGCACUGUGGUGGAUUCUGCUUAAUUAUCCAGUAUCUCAGAAAGCUGACAAGGAAACGCAAGCUUUUAUGGCUGCAGGUCUUUCCCUAGUGGUUGGAGGGCCUGUAAGAACUUUUGUAUGUCACAUAUUUGGCAAUCGUGGAUCAAGAGAUUUUUGGAGAUCGAGGGUGCCAUUCCCAAUGGAUCACUGGGCACACUCUCCCCUCUCUGUUGGAACUACUCCACUGUGCACUUGGGAUCCCAAGAGCUGUGCAGAUGUGCAUGGAGCCUUGCUGCAGCCCUGUGGUUUGCACACUCACAUGGGGAAGAGGAGGCAGGGAGACUCUGGUUCUGCUCUGCUCCCAGGCAAGCAGCAAGUUAGCUCUCUUCUCGCUUUCUUUCUUUCUGUCCCCACAUUUGGAAUUCCUUGUUGCACAGGGGUCCUGCUUCCUCACAGAAAAUUGGGGUAUCAGAACCUUUUGUGCCCUGGAGUCUGAUGACGGGAGACCUCUUUGGUGAUGAAGAAAAUGUAGGUUUGAACUCUCUGAGGCCAGGGACAGCCCUCAUACAGUUUUCCCUGGUUAAGGAUUCUCACCACUUGCUUCUUAUUAGAAGGCUUUGAUUGUUGGGGCUGCCAUAUAAUGUUUUAAAUGGUGCCCACUCUGCUCUGCGAGGUCAGAGCUGAUUUAACAAAUGUUUAUAUGCAAGAAGAAUUUAGUCCAAAAUAGCUCAAUUCAGGUAGGUAUGAUGAAGAGAUGCUAUACCCAGCAAUUCAGAGCCAAAUAAAAACACCCAAGCAGCUCUGCACUAUUCAUUUUGUGUUCAUGCAAUGCCCUGAAAUUAAAACAACAUACGGUUGAAGUAAUAGUGACGAUCAUUUCUCUGCUUUCCACAGAGCUCUUUCAGAAGAAAGUAAUUUAUUUAAAACUACAGUGUGAUUUAACUUGCCAGACCUUUCUCAGAGCUUAAAUAGAACUGUGAUGAUUAUACAUUUUCAUCUGUCUCAGCAAGAAAACCAUCAAUUAUGCUGGUCUGACCUGCCCCUUCCAGCAAAGGAAGAGAUACAUUUAGAAUAUGUCACCCACCCACACAGAAAAUGUAAUUUGGACUAUCUGGAUGAUGAUUUCUAUGAGGGUCAUUACACUGUACUUCCCUGGCUUCUGCUAAUGUAUUAUGCGUUAUUUUUUUCAUUUUGAUGCACAACUUCAUGCCUCAUUGGGAAUUCAUGUUAGCUUAAACCUGUGAAUUCCUGUAUAGACAAUUCCCUCCCUCUGUCCUCCUCCCCACUAUGGCUUUUGUCUGCUCAUGUAUCUGCCCCCCACACUCCCAGGAAAACUUCUUGCCCUUUCCUAAUUUAACUACUUCUGCUUAAUAUCAUUCAGACCCCAGCCAGGUACCAUCAACCCUUGGCACUGCCAUCUCACCAAGAAACCGAGGGCAAAGACAAGUACCUGCAAUUCAGCAGUGACCGUGGGCUGUGCUGGCUUUGUGGCAUGAGAUUUGUGGCCACAUUUCUUUCUUUUUUUUUUUUAGAAAAUAUGCCAUCUUCUAAUUCCAACAAAUGGUUUUAACAAAAAUUACUUUUUAAAGUACUUUUAAAAAAGAAGUUACUUUUUAAAGUGCAAUACAUGGUUUAUACACUAUAAAAAGAGCACUAAGUAACCAUGUUAUUGUGCUGCCUGCAAACUAAGAAUUAGUGUAGUGUGCAAGAAUUCCCCUGAAGGUACAUAUUUAGUCUAAAAGUGAAGAAUUUGCGUUAAAGGCACUGAAAAAACUACACAUCACCUUGGGGAUGGUUUUUGGAAUUUCUGUAGCAUGUUCAAACAAAACUUGAGAGCUUUUUUUUUUUCUGUUGGUAGAAACUUAGAAGCUGAAAUUUAGAGAAACUUUAGGAUGUUUAAUUUCUGCUUAUUAAAGCUACACAUAUCCCUUUACUACAAAAGUGAGUUAUAUGACUGGCUCAAAACCAAAACUCAUUCUUAAGCAUGCUAGUAAAUUUAUACCACAGCUCAUAGAAAACCUUUAUCAAUUUAGUAUCUCCUGCAGUCUGUGUGACUACACCAAAGCCAUGGACUGGUUGGAUAAGGACUCAGAAAAUGUAUGUAAUUAAAAAAAAACAACACCCUGGCAUGUGGUACUAGUUUGAAGUAAGGCAUUUAUGCCUAGUAAUGACAACUUGAUCAAGGAAGUGUCUUUUGCAAAAUGUCUUCAGCAAAUCAAGAAGCUUGGGAAUGCUGUAGAAAGCAUUUUGAAAAGAUAAGCUAAAAUCUGCUUCUGGAUUUUACUGGAAACCAGUAAAACAAAGUUAGAAAGUAGUUUCAGUUUUGCAUUACAGAUCUCUUAAAAAUGAUAUUGUUGUUCUCCUUGCACUGCUUAACAUUUUCCCUUACAUAUUUUGUACUUUUCAAAAAAUGUUAUUUCUUCCUAACUAACUGCAUUAUUCCUACUUCAGAAUAUUUCUUUCCAGCCCUCUCAGAUAGAUAACUCUCUGUUACCUUUAGUUUAGAAAAAAACUAACCCAUGUUACAAGAGAGGUUUACUACAAAAGGCAAAUCAGAAAACAACCCCAAACCACCUUAUUCCUCUCAGUCUAUUUCUAAUGCUGCUUUGCUGGGACCUCCAAAUCCUUUACCUCCUUGCAGGGUCAGCUGCUGAAGGCCAAGAUUCCCGACCCCACAUCCCAGGACAUUGCGCAUGGCCACACUGCUACAUGCCCUGCAGGUGGAGCCCAGGCUCCCUUCUUCCUUAGGCAUGGGAUAUAGAGGUGAUGCCACCUGGAUGCUGAGUGGAUAAGCAUGAGUUGUUGUGGUACCCGGGUGCAAAAAGCAUGUCUGGAUCUCCUACUGGAGGUGACAUUCACAUCCUCCUGGUCUGAGCCAUGAGGGGCUCCUAAGGCCACUCACCAAAACUGCGCUUUCUCAUAUUCCUUACAGAGAGUGCCAAAGGCUAAUCUUUAGUCUAGUCUAGUCUAGUCUUUGGGCACAGUCUACCAAUACUUCUACAGAUAAACUGGAUGCUUCUCUGCUGUCAUCUCCAGAGAGAUCUUUGGAUUUAGAAGUCUGUCCUGUCUCCUGCUCCUGGGUCCUGCUGGGAAGUGAGUCCUGCUCCUCAAGGUCUCAAGGUGAAAAGCUGUGGGGUGGAUGGAGCCUUACAUUUUUUUCCUGUGGCAGGCUGGCCUCCCGAGCUAGUGGUCAUGGCUGCUUUGGCUUUGCUACAGGCUGUUUCAAUUGUAUCCCUCACAGCUGGUGCUGGUCCACCGCCCAUCUUCAGCCCAACAGGCACAUUUAAGCUGAGGUCUGCCAGGCGUGGCUCUUCUGGGGAGUCAUUUGGAAACUGUGGACCUACAUAUACUGUUUCCAUUUUUUAAUGACUGAAGAAGACAUCCAGGACUCCAUGCUGCUCUUGGGAUGAAAAUUUCACCAGUGAGAAUAGAAGAUAUAAACCACAGAAGACUGAGAAUUUAAAUCUCAAAUUACCAUGUAUUUUGAGAUGCACUUUGGUGGAAAUGUCUUUCCAAAGCAAGGUGAAAGAAGACUUGUCUGACUUAUGUGAUGCCAAUAUUUGACCUUGUACUAUUUGUACCAGGUUGUUCCAUUGGAACUACUCUAAACUUCUCUAAUCUCUCACCUCCCUCAUCUGGACACUCCUCUCCUUCCCACGUAGCCUUAUUUCCAAACAAUCUCUUUCUUCAUAUGCUUCCUGUCCAAAAACUUCUUCAACCAAGCCCAGGAGAACAGAAUUCUCAAGAGCUACAGAAGCACUGCAAGAGAGGCGAGAAAGAUGCGCUCCCACCAAGGCCUCAGUCACUGAAAAAUGAACCCAAAGAGGAAAGACAGCCCAAGGUAACCCAGCCACAUCCUGCUGCAGAGGAGAGCAGAGAAGAUGGCAAGAGAGGUGAGGGUGAGCCAGCUGCAGAAAGAGGGAGCAGGCUCUGCUCUCUGUUGGCAGAGCACUGUCAGAGGAUGUGGGAGCAGCCCUCAGACACCACUAAAUGUACAGCUGCCCCAGCACAGAGUUUGGUGCAAAAUGUUUGCAGAGGCCAGAGCAAAUACUUGUGUAGCUAGCCCAAGAGUGCCAUGCUGUCAGGAUUGUCCAGUUCUGUUACCUCCCAGUGUUUGCAAGGGACACUAUACCCACACAGCCUGCAAUCUCAGCUGGCCAGUACACCUACCCCAUGGAUGCCUUUGGAGCCUACAUAAUUUCAGUAGAUCCUGACUAUGCUGCUGUGGGCCACUGGAAGAAAAAGCCCAUCAGUAAUACAUGCUCCUGUUUUAUCUGCAACAAGUCCCUUCACAUCCCACUUUUUGCAUCAUCCUGCUUUCCGCAGGGCCUUGUCAGGAGUCAGUACAAGACAGUCUUACUGCUGCCCUGCGGUCACACUCACAGCAGUGCCUGCAUCCCCUUCGGGUUAGGGUUUAGAGUUCACAGAGGCGAUGCAGGCUGUUGCAAGACAGACAGUCAGAGUUUGUUUUACUAAUAGAAAUACAAUCUAAACAGCUACAGAUUUUCUGGGCAUUUGUGCACCUCUCUGAGUCUCUUGUGUGGCAGUGGGAAGCUUUGCUGCCUGCGCGGCAUUUGCUCAGGUUUUCCAAGCGGGAAAUGUGCAGCAAAUAAAGGAACUGGGAUGCAAAAGAGUGGCAGCUGCUCCAGGACUGUUAGAGAGGCUCUUUUACAGGCGAAUGAACCGUCAAUUUGUAGUAAGACAUUGUUUUCUAAACAUAGCAUGAAAACUGUUAUCUUGCCUGGCUGGUCAUUAGAAGAGAGAUAAUUAUAGUCUCUGUGCGACAGCCGAGCCCAGAACAGGGGCUGCAUUGUCCCAGGUCCCAGCUGAGCUCUAGCACAGGCUCCCCAGGCAGCGCUGGGACAAGAGGGCUCCUUGUGCCCCGGCAAGUUCAAAAGAGGAAUUGAAGUGCUCUAAGUAGGUGUUAAGCACCUAUUUCUCUCUCCUACUCCGGAGUUAAAAACUACUCCACGGGAGAAAGGUGCGGAGGGCUGUAGCUGCAUCCUCCCUGGCCUUAUGUAGAAUACAUGCUAUGAUUAUUAUUUUUCUUUUUUUUACUAAAAAAAAAAAAAAAGCCCUAAAGCUUCAGUUUUGCGUUUAUUUUUGUUUUGUUAUGUGUUUCUGUUUUCCAACACAGAUCAAUGAGACCCGUAUGAUGAUAGGCUUUCAGAAGGAAGGACUAUGUUCAGCGUCCACUUCCUGAGCCCUGAAUGGAAGGUCUAAACUCAAUUUAUGCUGUCGUAUGCCAGAGAAGUCCUGGUGUACGCAGAACUUCAGGGGGUGAGAAUAUCCCCCAGGACCAUCAGGAAAUCCCAGACUGUUGCUUUUCACCACCCAUCCAGAAAAGACAAUGCCAUCCCACCCAAUUACAAUGGGCCAACACACUCCUCAUUGCUCUGGCACCUACUCAUGCCAGUACCAUUGUGUGGAGAGUUCAUGUCUGUGAGUGCCAGACCUUUUUUUCUCA
Pseudopipra pipra is the source of this 11532-nucleotide long non-coding RNA. RefSeq lists it as uncharacterized. The record is from RefSeq and is a predicted model, not a curated record. The transcript is spliced from 3 exons. Lineage: Eukaryota; Metazoa; Chordata; Aves; Passeriformes; Pipridae.